CCUGCCCUACUUCGGGAUAGCCCGGGAACUGGGUCUAUACCGGAUACGACUGCCGGACGCAUGUCUGGUGGUGGAAAGUUUUUUCGGUUGGGGAUGGGCUCGCGGCCUAUCAGUUUGUUGGUGAGGUAAUGGCUCACCAAGACGACGACGGGUAGCCGGCCUGAGAGGGCGACCGGCCACACUGGGACUGAGACACGGCCCAGACUCCUACGGGAGGCAGCAGUGGGGAAUAUUGCACAAUGGGGGAAACCCUGAUGCAGCGACGCAGCGUGCGGGAUGACGGCCUUCGGGUUGUAAACCGCUUUCAUCAUGGAAGAACCGCAGAUGACUAUACCUGCAGAACAAUACCUUGUAACUACUUUCCAAAAGCGCAGCAAUACGAAAGGUAACGAGCGUUGACCGGGAUGAUUUAGUAGAUGCUUUUCGUAUACGUGGAAUGGUCUCAACUUCACUGAAAACAUCAGCUUUGUUUUCUCUGUCAUUUAGUCUCCUGGUUUCUUUAAGUUCUGGGUUUUGGUGUGAUUAUGGUUGUGAUGCCUUGUUUAUGUGAAGCAGGCAUGAAAAAACACGUGAGAUUUUAUGUAUGCUGCGAUUGUGCUGAUACUGUAUCUCAGACUCCAGUGAUACUGUACUGAGGUAGAAUGGCAGAUCUACGCAGGGCAAGCGAUGCACCAUAGCGACCAGAGCAAGUAAGUCAUAGUAGCGACCAGACGUACGGACCCUAGACUAUGACUGAUGAGAACUACUGACAACAAAAUGAACCAGACACGACAAAGGAACGGUUAGUGCAGCAAUGCCAAAAGACUACGAGUCUGAAUCCUUACUGACGUUAAUGUUAUAUUCUAGAAAGGUUCAUCAUAUAUGCAAGCAUCAGACGCUGCGUCGGAUUACUUCACGACGUGUCAGGUAGUAGUCUGGGAUCGCACUGUGUACAUGAGAGCUUAGAAGCGAAGUCGUGUGAACAUCCGUA
This 970-nucleotide ribosomal RNA is filed under the name Brevibacterium sp. SPK05. RNAcentral's name for it is "partial 16S ribosomal RNA". The stretch from base 1 to 401 matches the Rfam family "Bacterial small subunit ribosomal RNA", at positions 125 to 546 of the family's 1533-position model. Lineage: Bacteria; Bacillati; Actinomycetota; Actinomycetes; Micrococcales; Brevibacteriaceae. The record is from RNAcentral.